UAGAGGCAAUACCUGUUCCUGCCCU
RNAcentral lists this non-coding RNA (25 nucleotides) under Mus musculus (house mouse). Lineage: Eukaryota; Metazoa; Chordata; Mammalia; Rodentia; Muridae. The record is from RNAcentral.